CAGAGAGCCAGAAUGAAACAACCACAUAAUAAGGCAGAUAUUGGAAAUUCUUAAAAUGAUGAGCGUCUUCCCAAACUGGAAAUAAUUGAUGAGGAAUAUUUUAAACCCUGGAAGCAAAGAGAUUUCAAAAGGAGAUGCAAUUUUAAAGACACUCAUCUAUGGAGUGCCCCAAAUGCACUAGGACUGCACAGGCUGUGUGGGGAACUCAAGGUUGAAAAAGAUAUAUCCUUGGCCCUCAGGAAGACUACAGCCAGUGUAAAGGGGACCAUAACGAUGUCUACAUCCCAGGGCUGUCGCGAGUGAGAUCAUCCAACCAAGCACUUUGUACAACGUCUGGCAUAUUAUACCACAUAUAAUACCUUAAUAAAUGUUGUUAUAGAAAAAAAC
Molecule: long non-coding RNA, 387 nt
Filed under: Homo sapiens (human)
Lineage: Eukaryota; Metazoa; Chordata; Mammalia; Primates; Hominidae
Description: HSALNT0022874
Source: RNAcentral